Non-coding RNA from Nylanderia fulva, 1025 nucleotides. The record is from RefSeq and is a predicted model, not a curated record. Lineage: Eukaryota; Metazoa; Arthropoda; Insecta; Hymenoptera; Formicidae.
ACAUGCGUGUGUGCGUGCGUUUGUAUGUGUGUGGAGCAUGCGCGCGCGCAAUAAAUAUCCGUGAAAAAAUGAUUAAUUAAAUGUAUGAAUGUAGAAAAAUAUUGUAUCGAGACUUAAUAUUAUUGAUCCACUAAUACGUUUCACAUUUAUGUACUGUUACGUAUUUCGAAUGCGAUCAGCUGUGACAACAUGGCGGGCAUGCCGUUUAUUGCUUGACCGAUUUAAAUUAAGAUUACAAGGUUCUAGAAACAGAGUCACGCAGAUAUAUAUAUUCGCUCAGUAUAAACAAGAGUGGCAAAAAUUGACUGGAUUUUUAAUAUAAAUGUAAUAGAAAGUCUGUCCUCUCGAGCAUACAUCUCAUCACGUCGUCUUAUUGCAGUUUUACAUUGUGAAUCAUCAGUAAAACUACGUCAUUGAUAUGUAGUGGAAGAUACUGCAACGUACAUUUUCAACCAUUGCAUCAUAUUCGAUGAUGAAAAUAUCAAAAUCAUUUACAAUCAAUUUUACUGUUAUCAACCUGCAGUAAGGACGACUAUUGAUCAAGCUUUGAAGCACACAUUUGACGAAAAGGCAUUUAGACUGAAACAUAGAAGCAUUUGGAGCGAAUGUGCGUUCGAAAAAUUGGAAAUUGUGUUUUUACGUUGUAAAUGUAAAAACAUGAAGAAAUUGACUCUAUGGAAAAUUAAUAUGUUUUAAAUUUAAUCAACAAUGAUUCAGUAGAUGGAUAUUAAAAAGUUUCAGUUUUUUUAAUGAUUAGAAAGGAUAUAAUGUGGUAUAAAAUGUGUUAUAAUACCGUAUAGUUGGAAGUAUCGCAUAAUCGCAAACGCUUGGUACAUAGUCUUGAUAAAGAGACAAGAUAGCUGUCUUAAAUAAUUUUCGAGAUAUCGUGACAGCUUGAAUGACAAAACAAGGACAUUUUACUAUUAUUCUCUCUUACAAAUUGCGUAUCGCGUGUAUAUAUGUAUUCGUGCAUACAUUGGCACACCUAUAAAAUCUCUUCUGCGAAGUUGCCUAAUCAGUUUUUU